RNAcentral lists this ribosomal RNA (932 nucleotides) under uncultured Bacillota bacterium. RNAcentral's name for it is "bacterial SSU rRNA". It matches the Rfam family "Bacterial small subunit ribosomal RNA", at positions 9 to 918 of the family's 1533-position model. Lineage: Bacteria; Bacillati; Bacillota. The record is from RNAcentral.
GAGUUUGAUUAUGGCUCAGAACGAACGCUCGCGACGUGCCUAACACAUGCAAGUCGUGCGGACUUGAGGGGCUUGCUCCUCAAGUCAGCGGCAGACGGGUGAGUAACACGUGGGUAACCUGCCCUAAAAUGGGGGAUAACCCGGGGAAACUCGGGCUAAUACCGCAUAAGAUCGUUUUUUUUGCGAAAGAGGCGAUGAAAGCUGGGGAUCGUAAGACCUGGCGUUUUAGGAGGGGCCCGCGCCCGAUUAGCUAGUUGGUGAGGUAACGGCCCACCAAGGCUUCGAUCGGUAGCCGGCCUGAGAGGGUGUCCGGCCACACUGGGACUGAGACACGGCCCAGACUCCUACGGGAGGCAGCAGUGAGGAAUUAUGCGCAAUGGACGAUAGUCUGGCGCUGCGACGUCGCGUGGGUGAUGAAGGUCUUCGGAUCGUAAAACCCUGUCGAGAGGGAAGAAAGAGCGGACGCUAAUAUCGCCUGCUUCUGACGGUACCUCUGGAGGAAGCCCCGGCUAACUCUGUGCCAGCAGCCGCGGUAAUACAGAGGGGGCAAGCGUUGUUCGGAAUUACUGGGCGUAAAGCGCGCGUAGGCGGUCGUAUAAGUCGGAUGUGAAAGCCCUUGGCUCAACCAAGGAACUGCGUCCGAUACUGCACGGCUUGAGGCUGGUAGGGGGUAGCGGAAUUCCCGGUGUAGCGGUGGAAUGCGUAGAUAUCGGGAGGAACACCGAUGGCGAAAGCGGCUACCUGGGCCAGAUCUGACGCUGAGGCGCGAAAGCUAGGGGAGCAAACAGGAUUAGAUACCCUGGUAGUCCUAGCUGUAAACGAUGGGCACUUGGUGUUGCGGGCUUCUACCCCUGCAGCGCCGGAGCUAACGCGUUAAGUGCCCCGCCUGGGGAGUACGGUCGCAAGGCUGAAACUCAAAUGAAUUGACGGGG